ACGAACGCUGGCGGCAUGCCUCACACCUGCAAGUCGCACGAGACCUUCGGGUCUAGUGGCGCACGGGUGCGUAACGCGUGGGAACCUGCCCUUAGGUUCGGAAUAACUCCCCGAAAGGGGUGCUAAUACCGGAUAAUGUCUUCGGACCAAAGAUUUAUCGCCUUUGGAUGGGCCCGCGUUGGAUUAGCUAGUUGGUAGGGUAAAAGCCUACCAAGGCGACGAUCCAUAGCUGGUCUGAGAGGAUGAUCAGCCACACUGGGACUGAGACACGGCCCAGACUCCUACGGGAGGCAGCAGUGGGGAAUAUUGGACAAUGGGCGAAAGCCUGAUCCAGCAAUGCCGCGUGAGUGAUGAAGGCCUUAGGGUUGUAAAGCUCUUUUACCCGGGAUGAUAAUGACAGUACCGGGAGAAUAAGCUCCGGCUAACUCCGUG
RNAcentral lists this ribosomal RNA (432 nucleotides) under uncultured bacterium. Its description in RNAcentral is "partial 16S ribosomal RNA". It matches the Rfam family "Bacterial small subunit ribosomal RNA", at positions 29 to 507 of the family's 1533-position model. The record is from RNAcentral.